RNAcentral lists this transfer RNA (76 nucleotides) under Candidatus Photodesmus blepharonis. RNAcentral's name for it is "Candidatus Photodesmus blepharus tRNA-Val". It matches the Rfam family "tRNA". Rfam says of the family: Transfer RNA (tRNA) molecules are approximately 80 nucleotides in length. Their secondary structure includes four short double-helical elements and three loops (D, anti-codon, and T loops). Further hydrogen bonds mediate the characteristic L-shaped molecular structure. tRNAs have two regions of fundamental functional importance: the anti-codon, which is responsible for specific mRNA codon recognition, and the 3' end, to which the tRNAs corresponding amino acid is attached (by aminoacyl-tRNA synthetases). tRNAs cope with the degeneracy of the genetic code in two manners: having more than one tRNA (with a specific anti-codon) for a particular amino acid; and 'wobble' base-pairing, i.e. permitting non-standard base-pairing at the 3rd anti-codon position. RNAcentral also lists the same sequence under 1 other name. The record is from RNAcentral. Lineage: Bacteria; Pseudomonadati; Pseudomonadota; Gammaproteobacteria; Vibrionales; Vibrionaceae.
GGGCGAUUAGCUCAGUUGGGAGAGCACCUGCCUUACAAGCAGGGGGUCACUGGUUCGAACCCAGUAUCGCCCACCA